ACAGAAGAAACGGAGUUUGUUAGGUCGAUCGUUUUGUUCGCCGGGCAAGAACAGGUUAAGCCGUUUUCACGCAACUUUCGCGAAAAUGUAAAUGAUAGCGAUUUUUUAAAAAUAUAUACGAUCCAAGUUGAUUUACCGAAAUGAGUAAAAAUAAGAAACACUUCUGUAUAAAAAAAAAAAAAAAAAUAAUGAUCACAGACAGUCGAUGGAUAGUUCAGAUAAAUUGGACAUUUUUUAGAACCAGGUGAGAGAAGCUUUAUAAAAGUGUCGAAGAAAAUUAACAUUGAAAUUCUUGUUCGAUCGUGCUGUUCAACGAUCAGGCGAUUUUAUUAGCAUAUUUAAAAUAAAUUUUAUUGUUCCAUCUUAUAACGUACUGUGAGUUUCUUAAGUCUUUCUCACGAGGAAAAUCACACAAGUGUUGGAGAUAUUACUUAAUAAGAUUACUCCUCUCUCAGUUCAGUACAAGAGAGACUUAGUGAAGUUGUUCAAUGUAGGAUUAUAAAUCUCACGUCUUAAAUUUCAUCAUACGUAAUACCAUUAUUAAUAUUUAUCGCCUAUAAAAUGUUGAAAGUAUGUAUUUUGUAUGCCUCAUGUUAUUACAUCGCCCAAGAAUUAAGAUUGACAAAUCAACCAAAAAUUCUUAAGAAUGUUCAACAUUAAAAAUUUUAAAACGAAAUACCGUUGACCGGUUUAAUGGAUAGUAAAAGGAAAAGAAUUCAGAAUGAGCUUACAGAAUAACUUACUGAAUAAUUAUUUUUUAUCGUCACAUCUUUUCUGACACGUUUUCUGCUUCUUCGAGUCAAUACAUUUUAAUAAUUACGUUGCAUACAAAAGCAUUAAAAACAUAUAAUUUCUAAAACCAUUUCGCUGAAGCGUCUCUCGUACUACAUUGUAAAAGAAUUAAUGUUCAUAGGCUAUUACUUAUUUCAGUAAAAGUAUCUAAACGCAAAUUGAAUGUUGUGACCAUAAUUGAAACCGAUUGAAACUCUAUGAAAAGAAACGUUUCGAUCGUAUCGGCGAUUUAAUAUCGCUACGUUCGAAGAAUACUUUCACUGGAUGCCACAAUAGAUAGAAAAAUGACAAUAGCGAUCGUAGAAGCGCGAAAUCUCGACACGGUUACAGGCGAUCGACGACUCUUGUUUUACAUUAAAAGAACCGCUAACCGAUUUGUAACGAUGGAUCGGCAAAUACACUACUAAUUAACGUACGCUGUCAUGUAAAACGACAAUAACCUUUUACAAUGGUUUCUUCACUUUCACAAUUCGUGUGAUAACAAGCAUGAACGACAAGCAAAUAGUAUUCUACCAUGAUUCAUUUGGAAAGUAGAAACUGCAUUAAACUAUGUCGACCAUAGUUGAACUUAGCAAACAAAAGUCAAUGGACAUACGAAAAAAGGUAUAAGAAUUACUGACAGUUUGAACUUUAAAUCUUUUUGAGUAAUAUAUUUAACAAUAUUAAGUAUUAUGUAAAUAGGAAAUAAAAAUAUUAUAAAUGUAUGAAAUCGUAGAAAUUAAAAAGAAAUUAAUUACACAGGGAAUAAUAAUUUAACAAUAAUUAACUGUACCCGAUCAUCGUAUAGUCCAUUGCUUCUGAACGUUAUGUGACAUUUGAUUGAAUUAACUGAAAGAAAAACGACGGAUGUACAUAGUGAUGCUGACCGUGAACUAACGAAGCCGGGCGUUACGCGUUAUUACUCAAGUUCACGGGUCAAAGUUCGAACGACUAUGCGUGAGUUUCGUGUAUGUCGGUCAUGAAUGUUUAUACCUAUGUCGCUUGGCCACGGAACAAUUGACCCCAAUAUAUAGGUCGCUUUCCACCAAUCAGCGUAUAUUUCCCUCAUAUUACUUCCACAAAUGUUGCCACAUCUAUAAAUACGACCUAUUAAGUAAACUAUUUAUAUUGAAAUUUACAGUUGAUCAUUCUUUUAAAGAUGAAUUAAUUUUAAUAAUACCAUUGUGAUUAAUUCAUGUUUAUUGUGCUUGAAAUUUUUCUUAACUGUUACAUAUUAUAAAAUUCUAGAUGCAAAUAAAAUGCAAGAAAGAAAGAAAUUGCUUUCGUUUAGAUUGUUUUAGAGAAUUGUCUUCAUUAUUGUGAGCUAACUCCUACGAUUCUUCGAUUCUCUUUAAAGAAAUUGCUUUCAAACAACCGUGUUUCAUUCGAUUAAUCCAUCUACUUAUUAUUGCAAAGUUGUAGACAUAAACUGAAUACGAAAGAAAUGAAUAAUUUCAGAAUGCUCCCUAGAAGCCUGUCUCCUGUAAUUAAGCAUUGUAAUUAAUCGCCCAAUCUUCGAACGUUCAAGCUCUUUCGAAAAACCAUCUCAACUUGAUUAACCCUCGUAUCGUUCAACAAAUGAAAAAGCCUCUUAAACGUAAAAGCCUAACCUAUAUAAAUGUGAAAACUGCAUUACCUCUUCCUCGAACAUUCAAACCACUUCCAAAAAUAUAUCAAACCCAGCUUAAUACCUCUGCAACGCAUCUCCGCUGAACAACCGUACAUACAUUCACCAUGCUACCAAGAAUAUUCAUCAGGAAGAACGUUGGAAGGCGAGCUACUUCCAUUCGUUGUCGCGAAACCUCGCUAGACAAAUGAUUCAGCCAGACCGACCUGGUUCAAUUUUUAAACCAGCUGAAAAAGCGAUGGAGGGGGUGUAAGCGCGAAAAAAUCGAGUGCAACGAAUGCGUGCAUCGACGUCGAGAUGCGAUCGCACGCGGCCGAGCAUCAGAAAUAGCCGGCGCGGUAAUAAAAGUUCUCGGAAGACGUGCGAACUCGUCGGCUGUCACCAAUUAUGGAGUUGUAUGAGACUCGAUGCCGCGCACCGAAAUAUUGGAAGUAAUUGCUGGGAUCGUAUUACGUGGAAUGUAACAUGCAUGUGGAUGUAAAUCGUGGAACGAAUCAUGGUGGAGGAUCGGCUGUUGAAAAGUAUGUUUGGAGAGUUGAUAAGCUUAGAAUACUAGGGUGCUUUGGGGCGAAACUGAAUUUGGAAGAAUCCUCAGAACUUUAUCAUUCUGGAUUUUCACCAAAACUACUCUGGAAGCAAUUGUCUACUUUUGAGAAACGUGUAAUGGAAAUUUUAGAAAAUAGAAUUAUAGGAUAUAGAUGUAAGAAUAUGUAUUAAAAUUGAAAUAUGUAUAUGUGUUUUUGUAUUAAAAUUGCUUAAAAUCUA
Bombus huntii is the source of this 3163-nucleotide long non-coding RNA. RefSeq lists it as uncharacterized. The transcript is spliced from 2 exons. The record is from RefSeq and is a predicted model, not a curated record. Lineage: Eukaryota; Metazoa; Arthropoda; Insecta; Hymenoptera; Apidae.